This is a long non-coding RNA of Lagopus muta (rock ptarmigan), 3988 nucleotides long. RefSeq lists it as uncharacterized. Lineage: Eukaryota; Metazoa; Chordata; Aves; Galliformes; Phasianidae. The record is from RefSeq and is a predicted model, not a curated record. The transcript is spliced from 7 exons.
CAAAGAGGGCUUAAAGCCUUAUUGAAUUAAAAUUUGAUUGCAGUCCGUUCUGCACGUCCAGCGUAAGCAAAGUGCGCCCAGUGCUGCCACCACGUUUCAGCACGGAGUCUGUAUAAAGCGCUCUGCUAUUGCACGUGCUUCCAGUGCUGCCUGGUGGCUGUGGUGCUCCGGUGCAGGUGCAGCUCCGGCGCGGCGUUAUUCAUCUCGUGCUUUCUGCUGCACGAGUUGCUGCCGAGCCCAUCUCUCGGACCCUCCUGUGCCCACACAGUUAUUUACAAAGGGACUCGUCUGACCUCCUCGCCCUCCUUCCAGCUCUGCUCAGUUGAGAGCAUGAAAGGAGACACAUUUGGUCCUUAUCUAAGCCAUUCUGCUGACCAUUAUAUAAUUAAGAAAACUGUGGCUGUCCCAUCCAGUAAAGAAGAAAAUUCUCCAUCCUCCUCAUGGACCAAAAAGCAGACCUGUUACAAGUGUAACGACUUUAAAUGUCACAAGGUUUUAAAUGCAGUUUGAAAAUCAAACCACAGCUGUUCCUGCCUACAAACAGUGAGAAAAAAUUUUCAUCACUUUCCAGUACUACUUCUAUUGUUGAGUCAUUUACACCUUCUAAAGAAAUUGCAGAACAUGCUGCCUGCUGAUGCCCUCCAGGAGAAGGUGGAGGAGGUUGCUGGUGUGGCACAACCUAUGAGGUGUGGACCAUGUGUGGGGGGCUGCUCAUUGUUCUGGUGAGGCACUUCAGUCAUCUCUUCAGGCUGCUCUUCAGCUCUUGUGCAUGGAGUUGCUGAGCGGUCGGUGUUGGCUGGGUGCUUUCCUCUCAUUGAUGCCAUCUGUACCUAUGGAUGUGUGCUUCAGGACCAAGGACCAGAGUUUUGAGGAAGACGAGAAGAGAGCCAGGACAAGCACUGAUCAGGCCGCAGCAGCGCAGAGGACACAUUCGUUCUUCCCCCAUCCCGCCAUAUUCAUCCACUGGGGUGAGAGACCCAAAUCUUUACUUACAAAGCUGACUUUUGUCAUAUCCUGCCCAGCAUCUAAAUCAGAGCUCUCUCAUUCACCAGUGCUGAUGUUCCCACGGAAGAUGGAUUAAUCUCUUUUUUUUUCUUCCCACUGAUCUGGGGCUUUAGGGAGAGUUGCAGAUAGCAAACAGGAGGGGAUUUAAGCCUUUCUCUUCACCUUUAAAAAAAGCCUGGCACAGCAUUGCUCUCCUAGGAAUAGGCCCACAUUAUUACUGCAGCCACAGCCACAUCAUCAGAGCUACAGUGCUCAGAGUUGUAGAUCAUCAGCCUGCUGUCACAGCCAUGAUGUAUGAUGGAAAAAGCCAUCCAUCUGAAAGUAUGCAGCACAAAGGGCUGGGGCUGGAGCCAUGCAGCAUGGCAGGGCCAAUGUACAGAGCACCAAACACUUUCCAACCCAAACAAGGCACAGAUUUGUGCCUGAUGAACUGAGGUUCAUUAGGAGGAAAAGGGAACAACUUCAAAGCCUCUCACUUGCAGGUGUCCAAAACAGCAAAAUGCAAACGCGCUCACGGAUUGAGAAACAAAUCCAGCUACUGCUUCCUCCACACACACACCUCUUUCCCUUAAAGCUUACAUUUGAUUUUCUUUUCCAGUGUAAAACCUCAAUCAUAUUUACACCAGCUUUAGGAUCUUUACAGACAAAGACAUUUAAGGCUGUGAAAUCUUGGGCGAAAGUAAAAUGAUAUGGUGGAUCAAUCAGCUGAUGCUUCUUCCCUGCACAGCAGGGGACUCCAGCAAACCUCUUGCAUUUUGCGCAGAGACUCAGCUCCAACUGAAUUUUUCCUUUGGCACUAUAAGAGCAAAAAGAUAUUUAAUGAAGGAAGAAAAAAAAAAAAAAAGGAGAGAGUAAGGGAGAAGGAACAAUCAUGAGCCUUUAUGCAUGGCUCCAGGUUCCUCAACUAAAAUGAACUGUUGCUCUUCCAGGAGAGAAACCAUUUCACAUCCAUUAUUCUCUUGCACAACACUCCAAGUGUGGGUGCAGAAAUAGUUUCCACCUAAAAAACCCUCAAAUUAGAAGAACACAUGGCAUGCAUGGAUCACAGAGGUGCAGCCCAGGGUGCUGCUCACCCACACAUGGUUGUCCCAAAUUUUUAACAUCUGUCACCAUGACACAAGCAAAAAAAACACUUUAUGAAAGCAGAUGUUCAGAAAGUUCUGUUUUUUUCCUCUCCAUGUGAGAAAUGCCUCAUUUAAAAAAAACAGAAAUGGUGAUACCUGUAGAGGUAAGGAGCAGGUGAUGCACGAGCAGGCACUUCAGCAGCCCUGCCUUUUGUGCAGCAGCAGAGGGAUGAGUAGUUUAAUUUCAAAUGGCCACAAAGUCAUUUUCAAAACACCUACCUCACUGUAACAUAGCACACUUGAAAUACCACAUUCCCGUUCAUUAAUGGUAAAUUAUGGCACAUACACCCUGCUGUUACUGAGAAUGUCAGUCAGAAAGCCUUUGACAAACACGUCCCCUGCUUGUGGGGAUGAAAGAAAACCAGCAUCUGAGGUGGUGUCCAAUCUAACACCAUUCUUCAGAAACCUGCUGAUAAAUCUGUCAUGGGUGACAUGGAAAAGAAAGAGAACACCAACAACAACAAAGUCAGCAAACUUUGUAUUGGCGGGAUCUUAGAACAGUCACGAGUAUGCGACAGUGUGCGGCUGCGGCUCAGGAGGGCUUUUCAGUUAUUCUGCUUGAAAUUCUGCCCUGUUUGGUGUUUUUUGUUUUGUUUUGUUUUUAAGGUACUUUAUUCUGGGCCAACUCCUGAGAAGAAAACUGGGAGGAAAGAGCUCAAGGAAAGACUUUUUUGCCUAAACAGCCAGGCCAGCAGUUUAUAGAGCCAACAGAAGCACAGUUGCAUUCUGCAUGAGUUGACCAACCAUGGGUGGAACUGUCCCGCUUAAUUCAGAAACUGAGCUUUGGCUAACUGUUAGCCUUAAAUAGACCUAUGUGUAGUUAAAAGUCACUGGUAAGUCUUACUAAAUUAUCUGGGAGGUGAAGAUCCUGUUUACAAAGCACCUUCAGCAACUUGAUUUACGUUGCCUAAAUGGUGCCCACCUCCACUCUGUUUGACUUUUGUGAUUGUAAGGCUGGAGCAACUAUAAUUAAAGAGCAUUUUUGGAGUGAGCACAGCACUAUGCAGCGUAAUGUGACAUUCAGAAUAUAUCAGUGUCACUUCGCACAGGAGUUCUGAUUACUUUUACAUGUGUGCUUCAGCCCUGUCAUUCAUCCCUAGUGAAGCUCAUCUGCCUCAAACCACAGUGUCUCACCUAUGUCAUGUGGUUUCACCCCCUCUAAAAACCUCUGCCAUUUCCAUUUUAAUCAUGUGUUUCAUUCUUAAGGUAAAUAAUUCUAUUUGCAUGUUAAUGAUUCUACUAGCCUAUUGCCUAAUACAAACAGUCCUAAAAUAGGGCAGCUCACCAAUGUGGAAGUGAGACCUAAGUAUCCAGUAAGUAUCGCCCAUUCACACAGCAAGAUGUGUCAGAAAUGGGAAGAGAGAUCUGUAUCUUUUUCCAUGCGAUUCCAGCAGGAGCUGAGACUGCUCUUUGAUUCAGCGAUAAUGAGUGAACAUUGCACCAACGACAUUUACAUUUUUCAGUGGUAAGGAAAACACAAGAACUGUUCUGGGUUCAGAUUCUGGCCCCCAAAUGCACGCUGAUUUCCUGAACUUUGAACCGCCUCCUGAUGUGAACGAACAGCCUGGCAAUUAGCAAAAGGGACAUCAGAUGUGAAAGGUGAAAUAAAAUUUUCAUCAGUUUCUGCGUAUCUGCUUCACUGGGAAACUUUCUGAAAAUAUAUCAGAAGGGCUGUUGGAGGUCCUCUGCCGUGCUGCCACGUGCCGUGUCCAACUAUUAUCCAGGCUCCCUGCUGACUGCUGCUGGAGCAGACUGAACUUUCACAUCAGGGAGGUGGCAAGAUGCAGUUUGGUGUGUGCCUCAGAUGCUGGGCAGGAAGAAGCUAUGCUUUUCCUCUCAUGUGGACCCCUGAAGCCCUC